RNAcentral lists this ribosomal RNA (1199 nucleotides) under Bacillus sp. (in: firmicutes). Its description in RNAcentral is "bacterial SSU rRNA". It matches the Rfam family "Bacterial small subunit ribosomal RNA", at positions 43 to 1242 of the family's 1533-position model. Lineage: Bacteria; Bacillati; Bacillota; Bacilli; Caryophanales; Bacillaceae. The record is from RNAcentral.
CAUGCGCUCUAUCUGCAGUCGAGCGAACUGAUUAGAAGCUUGCUUCUAUGACGUUAGCGGCGGACGGGUGAGUAACACGUGGGCAACCUGCCUGUAAGACUGGGAUAACUUCGGGAAACCGAAGCUAAUACCGGAUAGGAUCUUCUCCUUCAUGGGAGAUGAUUGAAAGAUGGUUUCGGCUAUCACUUACAGAUGGGCCCGCGGUGCAUUAGCUAGUUGGUGAGGUAACGGCUCACCAAGGCAACGAUGCAUAGCCGACCUGAGAGGGUGAUCGGCCACACUGGGACUGAGACACGGCCCAGACUCCUACGGGAGGCAGCAGUAGGGAAUCUUCCGCAAUGGACGAAAGUCUGACGGAGCAACGCCGCGUGAGUGAUGAAGGCUUUCGGGUCGUAAAACUCUGUUGUUAGGGAAGAACAAGUACGAGAGUAACUGCUCGUACCUUGACGGUACCUAACCAGAAAGCCACGGCUAACUACGUGCCAGCAGCCGCGGUAAUACGUAGGUGGCAAGCGUUAUCCGGAAUUAUUGGGCGUAAAGCGCGCGCAGGCGGUUUCUUAAGUCUGAUGUGAAAGCCCACGGCUCAACCGUGGAGGGUCAUUGGAAACUGGGGAACUUGAGUGCAGAAGAGAAAAGCGGAAUUCCACGUGUAGCGGUGAAAUGCGUAGAGAUGUGGAGGAACACCAGUGGCGAAGGCGGCUUUUUGGUCUGUAACUGACGCUGAGGCGCGAAAGCGUGGGGAGCAAACAGGAUUAGAUACCCUGGUAGUCCACGCCGUAAACGAUGAGUGCUAAGUGUUAGAGGGUUUCCGCCCUUUAGUGCUGCAGCUAACGCAUUAAGCACUCCGCCUGGGGAGUACGGUCGCAAGACUGAAACUCAAAGGAAUUGACGGGGGCCCGCACAAGCGGUGGAGCAUGUGGGUUUAAUUUCGAAGCAACGCGAGAACCCUUACCAGGUCUUGACAUCCUCUGACAACUCUAGAGAUAGAGCGUCCCCUUUCGGGGGACAGAGUGACAGUGGUGCAUGUUGUCGUCAGCUCGUGUCGUGAGAUGUUGGGUUAGUCCCGCACGAGCGCAACCAUGAUCUAGUUGGCAGCAUUAGUGGCACCUCUAGGUGAACUGCGUGACACGGAGGAGGUGGGAUGACGUCAUCAUCAUGGCCCUAGACUGGCUACCACGUGCUUACAUGGAUGGCUACAG